AGGCUGGGAGUGGGGACGGAAGA
Molecule: microRNA, 23 nt
Filed under: Suid alphaherpesvirus 1
Lineage: Duplodnaviria; Heunggongvirae; Peploviricota; Herviviricetes; Herpesvirales; Orthoherpesviridae
Description: prv-miR-LLT11b-5p
Gene: prv-miR-LLT11a-5p
Source: miRBase by way of RNAcentral